RNAcentral lists this non-coding RNA (221 nucleotides) under Anaerosporomusa subterranea. The record is from RNAcentral. Lineage: Bacteria; Bacillati; Bacillota; Negativicutes; Acetonemataceae.
UGCAUAUUGGGCGGAACAGGUGCCCGCAAGGGCUUAAUAGGGAAGACCGGUGCAAUGCCGGCACGGUCCCACCACUGUAAUGGGGAGCAAACCCAAGAUAGUAUCGUGUUACACAGGAUUAGGGUUGACACAGUACUUAGCCACUGGGACGAAAACUCCUGGGAAGGUUUGGGCGAGCGAAGAUCCAGAGCCAGGAUAACUGCCUGUUCCGUAACUACCUU